This 556-nucleotide ribosomal RNA is filed under the name Salmonella enterica subsp. enterica serovar Wandsworth str. A4-580. Its description in RNAcentral is "partial large subunit ribosomal RNA". Lineage: Bacteria; Pseudomonadati; Pseudomonadota; Gammaproteobacteria; Enterobacterales; Enterobacteriaceae. The record is from RNAcentral.
ACUAUUUCCCAAAAAACGAUCCGCAAAUUUAAUUUAUAUUAUUAUCAAUAGGUUAAUGUAUAAUUAAAUUAAAAAUGGAAAUUGUUUUUGAUUUUGAAAUUUAAUUGAGUAGUCUUAGUUGUGUUGAACGAAAAGCGCACAGUGAUCCUUCGUUCGCAUUGGGGAUGUAUCUGGAUCAACAACGAGGAGCUGCAUGAUGAAUCCACAGGCAACCACAACUGAUGAAUUAACCUUUACCAGGCCGCAAGGCGAGCUGGAAAAGCAAGUCCUGACCGCUGAGGCAGUCGAGUUUUUGACGGAGUUAGUCACCCGUUUUACGCCAAAACGCAAUAAACUCCUGGCUGCACGUAUCCAGCAACAGCAGGAUAUUGAUAACGGUAAGUUGCCUGAUUUUAUUUCGGAAACCACUUCCAUUAGAGAAAGUAAUUGGCAGAUUCGUGGUAUUCCGGCGGAUUUACAGGAUCGCCGAGUAGAAAUUACCGGGCCGGUUGAACGUAAAAUGGUGAUUAAUGCCCUGAACGCAAAUGUGAAAGUGUUUAUGGCGGAUUUUGAAGAC